AUAYUUAUUUUUUGGUAAUGUUUAUUAAAAACGCAGGUGGGAGAUCACAGUGUGGGAGGCAGCAGUGUCCUCACCCAAACAGCUGGGUCAAACGCAAGGGUCGUCCAGCGCAGCGACGUGUCUCCAGUGGCCAGGAGUGGACACCAAGGAACACACRACAGGGCAAGCACCCACUGCUGUUUCCUCAAAAUGCCCUCGCAGCCUUCAGCAGCUUGGAGCUUGAGGACUUCCUGAGACAGCCUUGGCCCCAAGAGGCGAGGUGAGCAGUGCCUGAUGUGUGACCUGCGUCUCACUGCGAGCAUGCGAAGUUAGAACAGGGGAGGAGAACAUGCUGGAGAGGAGACCCUGGAUCUGGACCUUCAUCAUGAGAAGCCUUUUAAGAAGAAGAGAAAAAAAAAAGAAAAGGAAAAAAACCUUGGUAUCUACGCAGGAUCUGUGCCAAAGAUACAAGAAGAGGAGGUUUUGCUUCUGUAGUGUUCUGCCU
RNAcentral lists this long non-coding RNA (484 nucleotides) under Dromaius novaehollandiae (emu). RNAcentral describes it as "lncRNA (ENSDNVG00000014553.1)". The record is from RNAcentral. Lineage: Eukaryota; Metazoa; Chordata; Aves; Casuariiformes; Dromaiidae.